This 1775-nucleotide long non-coding RNA is filed under the name Androctonus crassicauda. The record is from RNAcentral. Lineage: Eukaryota; Metazoa; Arthropoda; Arachnida; Scorpiones; Buthidae.
CAUUAAUUAAUUAGGUAGCUGAUAACACGACUUGUUUUAUUUAAAAAAAAAAAAAAAAACAAUUAUUAAACGUUAGAUAAAUUUAUAUCGACUAUCUAUAUAAUAAAUUUUAAACAAUAUAUUCGUAAUGUUUUUAUUGGUCAAUUUUCAGUGAUCGAUCUAAAAACAUCCUAUCAAGUUUAUAUAAAAUAUUUUAUGCUGACCAAACAAACGGAUAUGCGAAAAAAAACAAAAAUAACGAAAACAACUAUAAUACAGUAUAAUAGUGUGUUUGAUAAGUCUGUUUUGUUCUAUAAAUUUGUAAAAGAUAUCUCAGUUAUUGUUUAUAUAUACAGUUUAUAUACAUAGCUUAUAUAUAAUACGAGAAACUGUUUUAGGUGUUCAUGUAAAAAAAUUAAAGCCGUCAGGUAAUGAAUAAAAUGGCCUUGUUAACAAAAGCAAGCAUCAUCUUUUCGUAUCUAACAAUCUGAAAUUUGCAUUUGGAAACUAGUUUUGGUGUCCUCAAUUCUGACUAUCCACACACAACACACACACAUACACAUAGACAAACGGUGAUGAACCGCAGUGGCGUCAUCACACGAAAUUGCUCGGCCGAGACGACGUGGCCAUUGUCCAACUAUUCUUUCCUCCUCGGAGAAUAUAAGAAUUGAUUUUUGUCUUUCAUUCUGGGUGGGUUCUCUGUUAGGAAGACGAGAGACGUGGCACAGUUCAUUCUUCUAUUCGAGGGACGAUCGGCUGUUGACCUUAUUUUCGUCUGCUACCGAACGUGACUUGGUAACUCGUACAGCAGAAACAGAUUCUGUACAGAGUUAAAUUAUCGAUAGAGAUUAGCCAUUUACGAAUGUUUUUAACGAAUUAUAAGCGAGAUUCUAGUCACGUGAAGUACUUAUAUCAUUUUUUCUCUAUGAAAUGACCACGUGAAUCUAAUAAAAUGUCUCCCAAUACCUUGAAAAUUGAAUUAAUGACUUCCUGCUGGAGUUUUGCCAAUAUAAACGUGUUUUUCUACCUGCAAAAUAAUCGGGAAAUUCCACAUUUAAACAUGUAUUAUGUUUUUUUAAUAGAAAAUAGAUGGAAAUAGUUAUUAAAUUCUACUUUAAUCAUUUGAAUUUCACCAAUACACGAAGUGGAAAAGGUUCAUAAAUAGAUAACAAUCCUGCGGUUGUUUUCUUUCCUUUCUGGUCUGCCAUUUCCCAGCUAGCUGCAUCGGGCCAUGGACGACUGAGGAAAAGUAUGACCUCGCUCCAACAAGCAGCUGGGUUGCUUUGUAGGGUCACCAUUAGUCUUGCCUGUUUUGCUUCAGGCACUGAACUGACCCCUUCUUCCCCCCUCCAUCGAUUCAACAAAGCAACAGACAGGGAAGUGAAAAUUCCUUUGUCAUUUCAGCAGGCACACAUGACCCUCCCAAGGGGUGCUUUGUCUGUUCAUCUGUCUCUAACACCACUUGUCCUUGACUAAAGCUAACCGAUGGUUGAAACAGAUAUACAGUUGCAAACUAAUAGUAAAAAAAAAGCUUGUACUGUAUGAUUUGUAUUUUUUUCUCUCUAAUUUGUGUUUUUAUAUUGUGUUUGUUACUGUGUUAAAAUGGCCUGUUUUUGUUAUAAACUAUUCUGUAAUUUUUUUUUAUAAACGGCUAUUGUCAAAUAAGCUUACUUAUUUUUGUAUCAAAUAGAGAAAUUUUUUUAAAUUUAAUUUCUUAACUGCUUUAUAAAUAGAGAUAUUCUAUCGUCACUUUUAUCUAUAAAUCUUAAAAGUGCUGAUAAUAUCAUGAGUUUUAG